AAAUUUGUCAUAAUCUUUUACGGUUGCGAAGGAGAUGCGCUAACAAGGAAAACAGUGUUUGGGGAGAUAACUCCUACAAAGAAAAGUAUUCGUUUACGCAGGGUAAAUUUCAAAAGUGCAUAAACUGUUCGAUAUCAUAUACCAAAUAUCUAAGCGACAUAUUGCGAAACAAAUGUUUAUCGCAAGAACAAAAUUAGGCGGAAGAAAAAAAAAAAAAAAAAAAAAAAUAAUCAGAAGAAAAACAAUAGGUCUUUCCACAGAAAAGUGGAAAGACCUAAUUAAAAACCAAUUGUUCAGAGAACAAUUGAAGGUCUUUCCAUCAAAACAAUGUAUUUUGAUAUGAAAAGUUGUGAAACUAAGUUUAAAAUGUCAUUUCAAUCGUCAAAUGAUAGCUCCUAGUAAGCUGAUUCCAAAAAUAUAUUGUUUCCAUACGUUUUUUUUUAAAUAAGGGAGAUAAUUUGUUACUUCCGGUUUGAAAAAUGUUACUUCCGAUUAUAUUUGAAUAUUUACUUGACACUGAUUCCAAAAAUAUCUGGUUCUAUAUACUUUUAUCUUAAAAAGUACAAAAAAAUAGCUAUUUCCGGUUUACAAAAGGUCACUUCCGGUUGUUAUUUACAAGGUUAAAUGGUUUGAUAUCUUUUUUCUAAAAGUUGUAUAUCUUUAUCAUGUAUACAUAUAGAAUAAAAGCAAAGGUCAAAAUCUAGAACGUCAAAUUAAGCUAUGACCUUGAGAUCAGUUUCAAGGUCAUAAACCAAGGACCUCAAAUCAAAAGACCAUAGGUCUUUAUUAUAUUUAGUUAAUGAGUUAUAUCACCAAACGCGUAUUUUUAAAUACAAGAGGGGAGAAAACUCCCUUUUACAUUCAACGUACGCUUGCAAUCAAAAUUUACAUCUUACGACAUGUCGCAACUAACAAUUUAGUAAAAAUAAUUUGUUGAUAUCUUAUACAGUCUUUGGAUAUAAGUGAAAAUAAGCCAAAUUCAAAUAUUAGAAUAUGACCUUGACCUUUGACCUUGACCUAAUUUUCAUUUUUUGGGACCAAGGACCUCAAAUCAAAAGAUCCUAGGUCUCUAUCACUUAUGAUUUAUAAGAUAGAAAUUCAUAUCACUUAUAUCAGAUGCAUAAGGGGAAAUAACUCUCAUAUGGAGCGGUCUUAUCGCUUCGGUCAAAAUAGGACAAAUCAUGCGAAGGAUAUAACGAGCAAUUUUGUAAAAUAAAUUUGUCAUAAUCUUUUACGGUUGCGAAGGAGAUGCGCUAACAAGGAAAACAGUGUUUGGGGAGAUAACUCCUACAAAGAAAAGUAUUCGUUUACGCAGGGUAAAUUUCAAAAGUGCAUAAACUGUUCGAUAUCAUAUACCAAAUAUCUAAGCGAUAUAUUGCGAAACAAAUGUUUAUCGCAAGAACAAAAUUAGGCGGAAGAAAAAAAAAAAAAUAAUCAGAAGAAAAACAAUAGGUCUUUCCACAGAAAAGUGGAAAGACCUAAUAAUCAGAAGAAAAACAAUAGGUCUUUCCACAGAAAAGUGGAAAGACCUAAUAAUAAUAAUAAUAAUAAUAAUAAUAAUAAUAAUAAUAAUAAUAAUAAUAGGGAAAAAGAAACAGAGGAAUAACAAUAUGUCACCCGACAUUGUCGAUCGGGUGACAUAAUAAACAGGAGAA
This 1655-nucleotide long non-coding RNA is filed under the name Mytilus galloprovincialis (Mediterranean mussel). Lineage: Eukaryota; Metazoa; Mollusca; Bivalvia; Mytilida; Mytilidae. The record is from RNAcentral.